Long non-coding RNA from Drosophila teissieri, 379 nucleotides. RefSeq lists it as uncharacterized. The transcript is spliced from 2 exons. NCBI's taxonomy places the organism in Eukaryota, Metazoa, Arthropoda, Insecta, Diptera, Drosophilidae. The record is from RefSeq and is a predicted model, not a curated record.
AGUUUCAAUUCUCGUAAUUCGAAAAGACCAGAGAUACAGCUAUGAAAUACUUUUCGGUCCUUGUCGUCCUGACCCUCCUUUUGGCCAUCAGCGUGGAUCAAUCGGAUGCCUUUGUUAAUUUGCUUGACAAAGUGGAAGAAGCUCUUCACACCAGAACCCAUGCGGGCUUUAAAUUAUUAAGGCCCGUAGAAAGAGGCGAUUCUCCGAAAAAAUCCGAAAAACCCGAAAAAUAAAUAAUUCAAUUAAAAUCUGGAAAACAACAAUUUACCAGCGGCAGACAUUUAGUUAACUUAGUUGAAUGGAUGAAUGUACAUGCCGCUUCUCUGCUAAUAAAAUAUUACAAAUAUAUUCUGAUUCGCACGUGCUCAGUGAACAAUUA